Molecule: ribosomal RNA, 464 nt
Filed under: uncultured bacterium
Lineage: Bacteria
Description: partial 16S ribosomal RNA
Rfam family: Bacterial small subunit ribosomal RNA
Source: RNAcentral
CCUACGGUGGCAGCAGUAGGGAAUCUUCCACAAUGGGCGAAAGCCUGAUGGAGCAACGCCGCGUGGGUGAAGAAGGUCUUCGGAUCGUAAAACCCUGUUGUUAGAGAAGAAAGUGCGUGAGAGUAACUGUUCACGUUUCGACGGUAUCUAACCAGAAAGCCACGGCUAACUACGUGCCAGCAGCCGCGGUAAUACGUAGGUGGCAAGCGUUAUCCGGAUUUAUUGGGCAUAAAGGGAACGCAGGCGGUCUUUUAAGUCUGAUGUGAAAGCCUUCGGCUUACCCGGAGUAGUGCAUUGGAAACUGGGAGACUUGAGUGCAGAAGAGGAGAGGGGAACUCCAUGUGUAGCGGUGAAAUGCGUAGAUAUAUGGAAGAACACCAGUGGCGAAAGCGGCUCUCUGGUCUGUAACUGACGCUGAGGUUCGAAAGCGUGGGUAGCAAACAGGAUUAGAUACCCCUGUAGUC